CAAUGUGGAGGUUAUAUACAGGGGGUACCGGUACAGAGUCAAUGUGGAGGCUAUAUACAGGGGGUACCGGUACAGAGUCAAUGUGGAGGCUAUAUACAGGGGGUACCGGUACAGAGUCAAUGUGGAGGUUAUAUACAGGGGGUACCGGUACAGAGUCAAUGUGGAGGCUAUAUACAGGGGGUACCGGUACAGAGUCAAUGUGGAGGCUAUAUACAGGGGGUACCGGUACAGAGUCAAUGUGGAGGCUAUAUACAGGGUGUUACGGUACAGAGUCAAUGUGGAGGCUAUAUACAGGGGGUACCGGUACAGAGUCAAUGUGGAGGCUAUAUACAGGGUGUUACGGUACAGAGUCAAUGUGGAGGCUAUAUACAGGGGGUACCGGUACAGAGUCAAUGUGGAGGCUAUAUACAGGGGGUACCGGUACAGAGUCAAUGUGGAGGCUAUAUACAGGGGGCACCGGUACAGAGUCAAUGUGGAGACUAUAUACAGGGUGUUACGGUACAGAGUCAAUGUGGAGGCUAUAUACAGGGGGUACCAGUAAAGAGUCAAUGUGGAGGCUAUAUACAGGGGGUACCGGUACAGAGUCAAUGUGGAGGCUAUAUACAGGGGGUACCGGUACAGAGUCAAUGUGGAGACUAUAUACAGGGGGUACCAGUAAAGAGUCAAUGUGGAGGCUAUAUACAGGGGGUACCGGUACAGAGUCAAUGUGGAGGCUAUAUACAGGGGGUACCGGUACAGAGUCAAUGUGGAGACUAUAUACAGGGGGUACCGGUACAGAGUCAAUGUGGAGGCUAUAUACAGGGGGUACCGGUACAGAGUCAAUGUGGAGGCUAUAUACAGGGGGUACCGGUACAGAGUCAAUGUGGAGGCUAUAUACAGGGGGUACCAGUAAAGAGUCAAUGU
Oncorhynchus keta (chum salmon) is the source of this 903-nucleotide long non-coding RNA. RefSeq lists it as uncharacterized. The transcript is spliced from 3 exons. Lineage: Eukaryota; Metazoa; Chordata; Actinopteri; Salmoniformes; Salmonidae. The record is from RefSeq and is a predicted model, not a curated record.